Molecule: ribosomal RNA, 253 nt
Filed under: uncultured bacterium
Lineage: Bacteria
Description: partial 16S ribosomal RNA
Rfam family: Bacterial small subunit ribosomal RNA
Source: RNAcentral
UACGUAGGGUGCAAGCGUUGUCCGGAAUUAUUGGGCGUAAAGAGCUCGUAGGCGGUCUGUCGCGUCUGCUGUGAAAACUCAGGGCUUAACCCUGAGCUUGCAGUGGGUACGGGCAGACUAGAGUGCGGUAGGGGAGACUGGAAUUCCUGGUGUAGCGGUGAAAUGCGCAGAUAUCAGGAGGAACACCCAUGGCGAAGGCAGCAUACUGGCCGGCAUCUGACGCUGAGGCGCGAAAGCGUGGGUAGCAAACAGG